Molecule: non-coding RNA, 339 nt
Filed under: Homo sapiens (human)
Lineage: Eukaryota; Metazoa; Chordata; Mammalia; Primates; Hominidae
Source: RNAcentral
AAAUUUUAGUUUACUUUCAUUUGGAGAGGAAGCUGAGGAAGAAGAGGAGGAAGUAAAUCGAGUUAGUCAGAGCAUGAAGGGCAAAAGCAAAAGUAGUCAUGACUUGCUUAAGGAUGAUCCACAUCUCAGUUCUGUUCCAGUUGUAGAAAGUGAAAAAGGUGAUGCACCAGAUUUAGUUGAUGAUGGAGAAGAUGAAAGUGCAGAGCAUGAUGAAUAUAUUGAUGGUGAUGAAAAGAACCUGAUGAGAGAAAGAAUUGCCAAAAAAUUAAAAAAGGACACAAGUGCGAAUGUUAAAUCAGCUGGAGAAGGAGAAGUGGAGAAGAAAUCAGUCAGCCGCAG